RNAcentral lists this ribosomal RNA (1448 nucleotides) under Lactiplantibacillus plantarum. RNAcentral describes it as "bacterial SSU rRNA". It matches the Rfam family "Bacterial small subunit ribosomal RNA". Lineage: Bacteria; Bacillati; Bacillota; Bacilli; Lactobacillales; Lactobacillaceae. The record is from RNAcentral.
GCUAUACAUGCAAGUCGAACGAACUCUGGUAUUGAUUGGUGCUUGCAUCAUGAUUUACAUUUGAGUGAGUGGCGAACUGGUGAGUAACACGUGGGAAACCUGCCCAGAAGNGGGGGAUAACACCUGGAAACAGAUGCUAAUACCGCAUAACAACUUGGACCGCAUGGUCCNAGUUUGAAAGAUGGCUUCGGCUAUCACUUUUGGAUGGUCCCGCGGCGUAUUAGCUAGAUGGUGNGGUAACGGCUCACCAUGGCAAUGAUACGUAGCCGACCUGAGAGGGUAAUCGGCCACAUUGGGACUGAGACACGGCCCAAACUCCUACGGGAGGCAGCAGUAGGGAAUCUUCCACAAUGGACGAAAGUCUGAUGGAGCAACGCCGCGUGAGUGAAGAAGGGUUUCGGCUCGUAAAACUCUGUUGUUAAAGAAGAACAUAUCUGAGAGUAACUGNUCAGGUAUUGACGGUAUUUAACCAGAAAGCCACGGCUAACUACGUGCCAGCAGCCGCGGUAAUACGUAGGUGGCAAGCGUUGUCCGGAUUUAUUGGGCGUAAAGCGAGCGCAGGCGGUUUUUUAAGUCUGAUGUGAAAGCCUUCGGCUCAACCGAAGAAGUGCAUCGGAAACUGGGAAACUUGAGUGCAGAAGAGGACAGUGGAACUCCAUGUGUAGCGGUGAAAUGCGUAGAUAUAUGGAAGAACACCAGUGGCGAAGGCGGCUGUCUGGUCUGUAACUGACGCUGAGGCUCGAAAGUAUGGGUAGCAAACAGGAUUAGAUACCCUGGUAGUCCAUACCGUAAACGAUGAAUGCUAAGUGUUGGAGGGUUUCCGCCCUUCAGUGCUGCAGCUAACGCAUUAAGCAUUCCGCCUGGGGAGUACGGCCGCAAGGCUGAAACUCAAAGGAAUUGACGGGGGCCCGCACAAGCGGUGGAGCAUGUGGUUUAAUUCGAAGCUACGCGAAGAACCUUACCAGGUCUUGACAUACUAUGCAAAUCUAAGAGAUUAGACGUUCCCUUCGGGGACAUGGAUACAGGUGGUGCAUGGUUGUCGUCAGCUCGUGUCGUGAGAUGUUGGGUUAAGUCCCGCAACGAGCGCAACCCUUAUUAUCAGUUGCCAGCAUUAAGUUGGGCACUCUGGUGAGACUGCCGGUGACAAACCGGAGGAAGGUGGGGAUGACGUCAAAUCAUCAUGCCCCUUAUGACCUGGGCUACACACGUGCUACAAUGGAUGGUACAACGAGUUGCGAACUCGCGAGAGUAAGCUAAUCUCUUAAAGCCAUUCUCAGUUCGGAUUGUAGGCUGCAACUCGCCUACAUGAAGUCGGAAUCGCUAGUAAUCGCGGAUCAGCAUGCCGCGGUGAAUACGUUCCCGGGCCUUGUACACACCGCCCGUCACACCAUGAGAGUUUGUAACACCCAAAGUCGGUGGGGUAACCUUUUAGGAACCAGCCGCCUAAG